This is a long non-coding RNA of Dreissena polymorpha, 1564 nucleotides long. RefSeq lists it as uncharacterized. The record is from RefSeq and is a predicted model, not a curated record. The transcript is spliced from 2 exons. Lineage: Eukaryota; Metazoa; Mollusca; Bivalvia; Myida; Dreissenidae.
UACCAACUUUAAAAUAAAUUUUCUUUUUAAUAUCCGCUUCACAACCAAUACCUUUCCAUGUAUUAUUUUAAAAGAUAUAUCACUUUCUGUCACAUGCUUGGAUAAGAUUUAUCGGCUUGAAACAAACAAUACCAUGCAUUCGGAAAGAAAGUGUCGUCCCUGAUUAGUCUGUUCGGACUGCACAUGCUAAUCUGUGUGGACACUUGCACAUGCAUGUAGUCCAGGUUCAUUCUGCACAACUCUGGCUAUCUCGCCUGGCUUGUAUCACCCUCCCUCUUGCAGGUUCAUUCUGCAAGGCUCUGGCUAUCUCGUCUGGCUUAUAUCAUCCUCACUCUUGCAGGUUCAAUAUGCAAGGCUCUGGCUAUCUCGUCUGGCUUGUAUCACCCUCACUCUUGCAGGUUCAUUCUGAACGACCCUGGCUAUCUCGCCUGGCUUAUAUCAACCUCACUCUUGCAGGUUCAUUUUGCACGGCUCAGGCUAUCUCGUUUGACUUAUAUUACCCUCCCUCUUGCAUGUUCAUUUUGCACGGCUGUGGUUAUCUCGCCUGGCUUAUAUCACCCUCACUCUUGCAGGUUCAUUCUGCACGGCUCUGGCUAUCUCUCCUUACUUAUAUCACCCUCCCUCUUGCUGGUUAAUCCUACACGGCUCUGGUUAUAUCUCCUCGCUUAUAUCACCCUCCCUCUUGCUGGUUAAUACUACACGGCUCUGGUUAUCUCUCCUGGCUUUUAUCACCCUCCCUCUUGCUGAUUAAUCCUACACGGCUCUGGCUAUCUCUCCUUGCAUAUAUCACCCUCCCUCUUGCUGGUCAAUCCUACACGGCUCUGGUUAUCUCUCCUGGCAUAUAUAACCAUCCCUCUUGCUGGUUAAUCCUACACGGCUCUGGUUGUCCCUCCUGGGCUUAUAUCAACAUAUCUCUUGCUGGUUAAUCCUACAAGGCUCUGGUUAUCUCUCCUGGCUUAUAUCACCAUCCCUCUUGCUGGUUAAUCCUGCACGGCUUUGUUUAUCUCUCGUGGCUUAUAUCACCCUCACCCUUGCUGGUAAAUCCUACACGUCUCUGGUUAUCUCUCCUGGCUUAUAUCACCCUCACUCUUGCAGGUUGAUUCUGCACGGCUGUGGCUAUCUCGCCUGACUUUAUCACCCUCACCCAUGCAGGUUAAUCCUACACGGCUCUGGUCAACUCGCGUUGCUUAUAUCAAUCUCCCUCUUGCUGGUUAAUCAUACACCGCUCUGGUUAUCUCGCCAGGCUUAUAUCACCCUCACUCUUGCUGGUUAAUCAUACACGGCUCUGAAUAUCUCGUCUGGGUUAUAUCACCCUCCCUCUUGCUGGUUAAUCAUACACGGCUCUGGUUAUCUUGCCUGGCUUAAAUCUGACCGGGUAUACGGCGUGUAAUUGUGUCUGGGUUCAUUCUAUACCAAUAUUGUAGGCAUGGUACAUGCAUUUCACUUUAAUGUUUCUGGCAGCUGUUAUGCGCCUUCAUAUACGUGUAUAUGUGUAUCAUGAUAAUUAUAAUGCAUGUGUACAUAUUAUGUUUACAAGCAAUGGAAUAAAGUCAUUUUUACUUUA